UCUUCCGCAAUGGACGAAAGUCUGACGGAGCGACGCCGCGUGAGCGAAGAAGGUCUUCGGAUCGUAAAGCUCUGUUGUUAGGGAAGAAGAAGUACCGUUCGAAUAGGGCGGUACGGUGACGGUACCUAACGAGAAAGCCCCGGCUACCUACGUGCCAGCAGCCGCGGUAAUACGUAGGGGGCGAGCGUUGUCCGGAAUUAUUGGGCGUAAAGCGCGCGCAGGCGGUCCCUUAAGUCUGAUGUGAAAGCCCACGGCUCAACCGUGGAGGGUCAUUGGAAACUGGGGGGACUUGAGUGCAGAAGAGGAGAGCGGAAUUCCACGUGUAGCGGUGAAAUGCGUAGAGAUGUGGAGGAACACCAGUGGCGAAGGCGGCUCUCUGGUCUGUAACUGACGCUGAGGCGCGAAAGCGUGGGGAGCAAACAG
Molecule: ribosomal RNA, 423 nt
Filed under: uncultured bacterium
Lineage: Bacteria
Description: bacterial SSU rRNA
Rfam family: Bacterial small subunit ribosomal RNA
Source: RNAcentral